Molecule: transfer RNA, 75 nt
Filed under: Pseudomonas aeruginosa
Lineage: Bacteria; Pseudomonadati; Pseudomonadota; Gammaproteobacteria; Pseudomonadales; Pseudomonadaceae
Also listed under: 1706 other names
Description: tRNA-Gly
Rfam family: tRNA
About the family: Transfer RNA (tRNA) molecules are approximately 80 nucleotides in length. Their secondary structure includes four short double-helical elements and three loops (D, anti-codon, and T loops).
Source: RNAcentral
GCGGAAGUAGUUCAGUGGUAGAAUACAACCUUGCCAAGGUUGGGGUCGCGGGUUCGAAUCCCGUCUUCCGCUCCA